This 450-nucleotide ribosomal RNA is filed under the name uncultured bacterium. RNAcentral describes it as "partial 16S ribosomal RNA". It matches the Rfam family "Bacterial small subunit ribosomal RNA", at positions 338 to 795 of the family's 1533-position model. The record is from RNAcentral.
CCUACGGGGGGCUGCAGUAAGGAAUAUUGGUCAAUGGAGGAAACUCUGAACCAGCCAUCCCGCGUGAAGGAUGAAGGGGCUCUGCCUUGUAAACUUCUUUUGUCUGGGGCGAAAAAGCUCGAUUUAUCGAGAACUGACGGUACCAGAAGAAUAAGCACCGGCUAACUCCGUGCCAGCAGCCGCGGUCAUACGGAGGGUGCAGGCGUUAUCCGGAUUCACGGGUGCGAAGGGGUGCGUAUAAGGCUUUGUUGAAAGGCUGUGGCUUAACCAUGGAAGUGCCAUUGAUACUGCAGAGCUGGAAUGAGGUUGAGGUUGGCGGAAUGUGACAUGUAGCGGUGAAAUGCGUAGAUAUGGCAUGGAACACCGAUUGCGAAGGCAGCUGACUGGACCUAGAUUGACGCUGAGGCACGAAAGCGUGGGGAGCGAACAGGAUUAGAUACCCGGGUAGUC